AAGUAAUUCUGGAUCUUUCCUAAUGACUAAAAAGUAUUUAAGAUUAAAUAUGAAUGUUAAUCUCAGGGUGUCUAGUCUGUUCAUCUGUAAAGAAUUCAGAUCACUAGUAUUUAGACAUUCAUUGGAGUACCCUCAAAGUAACAUUUUCAGUAUUCCUGUGAGGCUGUGACAUUUUUAGCUUUAAAAAGGUACUUUAAGCCACUUUGGGAGGGGGAAAAGUGUCCAGAUGGAUCCCUCAACUUGAAAGCAACCAUCCCCUUAGCUGGGCUCCUGGAAAGGAAGGGAGAAAAAAAAAGGAGGGAGAAGUAAUUGGCACGUAAAGAUACGAGAAAAAGAAAGAUCAAUGAAAGGAGAAAAAUAGGGAGAGGACUGGAUAAACAAGCCAGGAUUACUUAAAAUCCCUCAGAUUUGGGAAAACAGAGUCAAAGCUCGAAGGAUGAAGAAGCAGUGCCACAGUGCUACGUUUAAAUCAAAACGCUAUCUUUUUAAAAUGAGAUGAUUUAAAAAAAAACAUUAAACUAAUUCCUAAUUUCGUCUUUGCAUAAUGACACUCUUCCCAUGUCUUCAUCUUGAUGCCCCCUGUGAAAACACCACAUCUACUAAUGAGGGUAAACGGACAUAGCAUGUGACCAGCACGUGACCAGCAUGUGACCAGGAGUGUUAACAGUUCUGUAGCAGUUACUCAGAGGCAACUGCAGAAUACAUUUAUUUAGGACACCACACAUCCCUAGGACACACAGAAGACAGAAAUCUUUGAAACCAAAAGGUGCCUGAAUUAAUGGAGCUGACAUGCAGCCAGCAGUAAACGGCAAAGGACCAAUGAAAACAAUCACCCUGUCCCGUGUCAAUUCUGUUUCUAGGCUCUCGUCUAAGCUCUGCCAGGAAUGGACGGAAGGGAGAAAGACAUAGGCCGUUUCAGCUGGCUGGAACAGCAAGCAAAAUGCAUCAGUUGGCAGAAUCCUGCCAAUGUUCCAAGGAAACCUGAAGCCGGUUCCCACCCCCACCCCUCCUCCAUGGAUGCCCGUGGAAGACAGAGCUCCAUGGAACCAUGAUAUUAAGUUGCAGACUCUGCCUGUUCGUAUAGACCAGAGCUUUUCUGUGACAUUACUGUCAAACAGCCCCCUGUGUGACUAAUAUUUUUAACAGCAUGCUAUUUAAAAUUUGACAAGGAUAUAAUAAUUCAUUCUUCAGAUAGUCAACAUACUAUGAGAGUCAGUCAUGUCUUCAAAGUAUCUUUCAAAGGGGCUAUUAAAAGUAGGUUAAAGUUUUCCCCCUACAGCAUGCAAUUUCAUUUUGGCUUUACCACUUCAACCACAUAAAAUUAAAUUUUGACUUGAGAGUGACCUACAGAAAAUUAGAUGGAAAAAUAAGGGGAAAGAUUUAAAUUACUGAUUCAAAGGAAACUAACAUGUCUGUCUGCAAUUUAGCAUACAGUUUGCUGAGCCUUCCGAGAAUCUUAUGUUUCUGGUAGUCACUAUUUUCCUCUUAGGAUUCAGAUUGUAUUUUUAAUGGAAAUGUUGUAGAACUUAAUGGAAUGUAAUAUCUUGUGAUAUAUAGACUUAAGGCAACACAGGAAAGAAUUAGCCACACAUAUUUUCUGCCAUAAUCCUCCUCUCUACUCCCAGCCUUCUUGUAACCUGUGAUCUAGCCACCCAAAUCAACUAGACAUUCUCUCAAAUAAACUAUGCUCUCUAAAGCUCU
Felis catus (domestic cat) is the source of this 1701-nucleotide long non-coding RNA. RefSeq lists it as uncharacterized. NCBI's taxonomy places the organism in Eukaryota, Metazoa, Chordata, Mammalia, Carnivora, Felidae. The transcript is spliced from 3 exons. The record is from RefSeq and is a predicted model, not a curated record.